Carassius gibelio (silver crucian carp) is the source of this 5202-nucleotide long non-coding RNA. RefSeq lists it as uncharacterized. The record is from RefSeq and is a predicted model, not a curated record. The transcript is spliced from 4 exons. Lineage: Eukaryota; Metazoa; Chordata; Actinopteri; Cypriniformes; Cyprinidae.
UGGGCGUGGUCAAUGUUCGGACAACGUGAUGAAAUGAUUGGUCGAUCCCUUUUCAUAUCCAAACAUCCCUGCUAACACACGACGUAACAGUUACGUAACGUACUGGUAAUUUUUGGUAAUUCCAUGACUUACCAAUUGACAACGUAACUACGACGUCGCAUGCCCGUAAUUUUAUUACCAUCACAUUACCAACUCACAACGUCGUCAGUACGUCCUUCCAACGUGACCAGAUAACCAAGAACGUCCCAGAUAGGUCCUCUAUUGGUAAUAUAUUGGUAACUUCAUGACUUACUGGCAACGUAACUACAACGUCGUAUGCACGUAAUAUCAUUACCAUAUAUUUUUUUUUACGUUCUUUAUAUGCUCUCUGAGUAUAGAGCCAUUUAAAAAGUGUAAUUAAACUUCAGACUCAAGCUUAAACGUUCCUUAAAGAUAAAAUAGGUUUCUUUUCACCAAGUCAGAAUAUGGACAUGCUUUUAAUAUAUAGUGACGUGACAUACAGGCGCGCGCUUCCGCAACUGACGCACCGCGCGCACAGUAUUGACAAGAAAAGAGUUGUGAAACUUUCUAUCUCGUAAGGAGUUAUGAACGUGAAAUAAUGACACAGACUGGCUACACCAUCUCAUCUGCAGCAGAGAUUGUUGUAUCAGAAGGACAGCGCGUUUGUUUGACGCACUUUUCACUUCAACUGUGUCUGACAGGAGAAUUAGCUUUCUGAGCCUUCUAGCCGUUGAGUUACCAUGGCAACCGCGUACACAUCAGCUGCUGGAGAGGAGAGGAGAGGACUCGUCUGACAUUUUCUCUGUUUCUCGUCAGUUAUACCAAAGAAAAGACCAACAACUGGGACAGAUUGGUUAAGUAACACGUUAAUAUUAUCCACAGUCUACUUUAAGUACUUUUUCUUAAUAUUUAUACCUCUGCGAUUAUGGUAUUUUUCCUGAAAUGUCUGCUAUCAAGUAUUACGCUAGCAUAGAAACAUAAUUAACGUUAUAGCAUAUUAGAUUUGAGCCCUUAUUAAUGAAAGUUUGGCCUUUUAAUUACAUCUUAUGCCUAAAGGAUCGGUUUUGAUCAUUUUGUUAAUGUUUUUGAUGGUAAUUUGUCAAUAGAUAAAUGAAAUAAAGUUAAGCUAAUUAAUUUAACCUAAAAAUCUGCAUUGUAGAGUCUAUCAGUGACGUCACUCGUGGUCUAAAAUGGGCUGAAACUAUUUCAAACCACUGUUUCAAGCUUGUUCUGAUUUAUCAUUGUUAACAAAUAUUGAUAAAAAAAAUUGUACAGUGAUUUCAGGAGUGUCUUAAAAACCCUCUAAAACAGAGGGGAAUUUCCAAGAAAAUGACUAAUGGGAGCUGCUGACAGAGAUAGAAAACACAGUUUGUUUAUUUCUAAUAAGGAGCUGGAGGCCAUGAAGAAACAGAUCCAUGAUAUUGUGGAGAAGCAGGCCCAGCUGAGCGAGUGGAGAGCUGUGCUGGAAAUAUUCAGGGGUUGAUGCUCAUAAGUCCAGGGUAAGUAUACAGCUAACCCUACUACCACCUCUACUCUGUGUGGUUCUCUGCAAAGGCCCGGUGUACCCAGGAUGCGAUCUUCCCAGAUGUCCUUCACCCUAUUUCAUAGUGUAAGACAUGAUCCAGGCCCUGGGCGACGACCUCUCUCCAUCCGCCGCCUCCGGUCUUCAGGAUCUCCACCAGAACCCGAUUCGCUCCACUUCGCGAGACAGAACAAAACGCUGUGAUCAUCAGAGACUCCAUCGUCCGGCACGUUUGCGCUAUGUUAGCUGAAGGUAAAGUCCACACUGACUACUUCCCUGGUGCUCAUGUUCUUGAUAUUUCUGCACAGAUUCCCGUGACCCUGAAGAGUGAGGUGGGCAUCAGAGCGGACGGAGACACUGAAGAGGGACUUCAGGAGCCUGAUCAAGACGGUGCACAGCAUAUCGCCUGCAUGAUGAUCAUCGUGUCAGGACCACUUCCCACGUAUAGAUGAGGACAUGAAAGGCUUUUUAGAUCUCCUGUUGGACAACAUCUCCAGGACACUUCGCUCCAUAUGACUAGUAAGCCAAUUCUCAAAUAACCGUUAUGAUGAAUUUUGUUCUACACGCUCAAAUAGAAGUACUACUACAAUAAAGAUUGUGUUUGUUCCAGUGUUAAUUUUGACAGGUAUUUUUGAUUUAGCAUUAGUCUAAACUCCACCAAACUACUGUUAUAAGCAUGAGCCCUGUCAGACUGGUCGUGGCGGAGGUGUUGCAACAAUAUAUAGUGAUAUUCUCAAUGUUACCCAGAAAACAGGAUACAGGUUUAACUCUUUCGAAAUACUUCUGCUUAAUUUUAGACUGUCAGACAUGCAAAAGAAAUCUAAUGUAUCUCUUGCUCUGGCUACUAGGGGUGUGAUGAGACACUUAUCCCACAAGAUGAGACGAGACACGAGAAUGGGUUCAUGAGAGCGAGACGAUAUAUAUAUAUAUUUUUUUUUAAGAAAUCCUCAAUGAUAAAAUAAAUAUUUCAUUUUUCUCUACUCCUUUUUCGUAUGACAUACAUUUUCACAUCAAUUUAUUAAACAUAAAAAAAAAAAAAACAUAUUUAGGGCCCUAAUUUUUUCCCCAGCAUAUUAUUUUUUAUUAUUAUUGUUAACAAAUUCUGUAUUUUAGCAUGUCUAACUAUUUGAAUGCAUAACACAACUUAAUUUAUUCAUUUUAUUUUUUCUUAAAGGUAGCCUUACUGACAUAGAUAUAAUACCUCAAAGUGUAAUUACUGACCACUUCCUUGUAUCGUGCAUGCUGCAUAUUAGUGAUAUUAACUAUAUUUCCAAAAUGAGCAUUAUGAGUUUAAGAGCCUUACAUUACAUUUAUAACAAUCAUUGUUAAUGUUUGAAUUGUAUUUCAGGGCAGUUUGUGAAAAGAGACAAUCAAUAGAAGUCAGUUCCAGAUCCACCCUCCACACCAGACCUCUCUCUCACGAGGAUUGCUGUCUACUAGCAUAUUGUGUUCUUCAGCUCUUCAGACUUCGGUGGAUGCAGAUAUUACUCAGGGACAUGAACACUAGAAUAUUGCAAGAAUAGAGAAAGUAAGAAUUACUUAAGAUUUUAGAAUUUAAUGUUAAUUGCUUAAACAUAUACAGUAUUGUUCAAAAUAAUAGCAGUACAAUGUGACUAACCAGAAUAAUCAAGGUUUUUAGUAUAUUUUUUUAUUGCUACGUGGCAAACAAGUUACCAGUAGGUUCAGUAGAUUGUCAGAAAACAAACAAGACCCAGCAUUCAUGAUAUGCACGCUCUUAAGGCUGUGCAAUUGGGCAAUUAGUUGAAAGGGGUGUGUUCAAAAAAAUAGCAGUGUCUACCUUUGACUGUACAAACUCAAAACUAUUUUGUACAAACAUUUUUUUUUUCUGGGAUUUAGCAAUCCUGUGAAUCACUAAACUAAUAUUUAGUUGUAUGACCACAGUUUUUUAAAACUGCUUGACAUCUGUGUGGCAUGGAGUCAACCAACUUGUGGCACCUCUCAGCUGUUAUUCCACUCCAUGAUUCUUUAACAACAUUCCACAAUUCAUUCACAUUUCUUGGUUUUGCUUCAGAAACAGCAUUUUUUAUAUCACCCCACGAGUUCUCAAUUGGAUUAAGGUCUGGAGAUUGGGCUGGCCACUCCAUAACAUUAAUGUUGUUGGUUUGGAACCAAGACUUUGCCCGUUUACUAGUGUGUUUUGGGUCAUUGUCUUGUUGAAACAACCAUUUCAAGGGCAUGUCCUCUUCAGCAUAGGGCAACAUGACCUCUUCAAGUAUUUUAACAUAUGCAAACUGAUCCAUGAUCCCUGGUAUGCGAUAAAUAGGCCCAACACCAUAGUAGGAGAAACAUGCCCAUAUCAUGAUGCUUGCACCUCCAUGCUUCACUGUCUUCACUGUGUACUGUGGCUUGAAUUCAGAGUUUGGGGGUCGUCUCACAAACUGCCUGUGGCCCUUGGACCCAAAAAGAACAAUUUUACUCUCAUCAGUCCACAAAAUGUUCCUCCAUUUCUCUUUAGGCCAGUUGAUGUGUUCUUUGGCAAAUUGUAACCUCUUCUGCACAUGCCUUUUUUUUAACAGAGGGACUUUGCGGGGGAUUCUUGAAAAUAGAUUAGCUUCACACAGACGUCUUCUAACUGUCACAGUACUUACAGGUAACUCCAGACUGUCUUUGAUCAUCCUGGAGGUGAUCAUUGGCUGAGCCUUUGCCAUUCUGGUUAUUCUUCUAUCCAUUUUGAUGGUUGUCUUCCGUUUUCUUCCACGUCUCUCUGGUUUUGCUCUCCAUUUUAAGGCAUUGGAGAUCAUUUUAGCUGAACAGCCUAUCAUUUUUUGCACCUCUUUAUAGGUUUUCCCCUCUCUAAUCAACUUUUUAAUCAAAGUACGCUGUUCUUCUGAACAAUGUCUUGAACGACCCAUUUUCCUCAGCUUUCAAAUGCAUGUUCAACAAGUGUUGGCUUCAUCCUUAAAUAGGGGCCACCUGAUUCACACCUGUUUCUUCACAAAAUUGAUGACCUCAGUGAUUGAAUGCCACACUGCUAUUUUUUUGAACACACCCCUUUCAACUAAUUCAACUAAUUGCCCAAUUGCACAGCCUUAAGAGCGUGCAUAUCAUGAAUGCUGGGUCUCGUUUGUUUUCUGAGAAUCUACUGAACCUACUGCUAACUUGUUUGCCACGUAGCAAUAAAAAAAUAUACGAAAAACCUUGAUUAUUCUGGUUAGUCACAUUGUACUGCUAUUAUUUUGAACAAUACUGUAUAUAUUUAGAUAUAUUUUUGUGGCAGUGUGAACUGGCCAUAAUGCUGUAUGAUAGGUGUGAGAUUCAUUAAACUUGAUUUGCUAUAAUACAUCUGUUCAUAAGCUAUAGCAUAUUAUUUUCAAUGAAUUAUUUGUAGUGGUUUGGUUAAGGGUGUGAUUAGCUGAAGAUUAUUGUGGGAUCUUGUGAUUAGUUGAUGAAUGUGUGCAUUGUUAAUGAUAAUAUUUAAAUGCAAUGUACUGAGUGCCUACUAAGACUUGCAUGUUGUGCAUAAUGUUUUGACCCUGGAUGCUUACAGAAGGGUAUAGAUAUUUCAAUAUAUGGAAAUGUAUUUAUUAUUAAUAUAUCUCAAUCUAUGUGCUUCUGUAUGGGCUGAAUGCUUUCAUUCAUAUUUCGCUGUAUAUCCUGUUUUUAUUAAUAAUCUGGGUGUAUUACUGUUCAUAUUUGCUUGUUAAUAAAUUAACUGAAUU